RNAcentral lists this unclassified non-coding RNA (520 nucleotides) under uncultured Glomus. RNAcentral's name for it is "SSU rRNA". It matches the Rfam family "Eukaryotic small subunit ribosomal RNA", at positions 569 to 1090 of the family's 1831-position model. The record is from RNAcentral. Lineage: Eukaryota; Fungi; Glomeromycota; Glomeromycetes; Glomerales; Glomeraceae.
AGCAGCCGCGGUAAUUCCAGCUCCAAUAGCGUAUAUUAAAGUUGUUGCAGUUAAAAAGCUCGUAGUUGAAUCUCGGGAUCAAUUUGCUGGUCGUGCCUCUGGUACGUACUGGUAUUAUUGGUUUCUCCCUUCUGACGAACCAUGAUGUCAUUAAUUUGAUGUCGUGGAGAAUCAGGACUGUUACUUUGAAAAAAUUAGAGUGUUUAAAGCAGGCAUUAGCUUGAAUACAUUAGCAUGGAAUAAUGAAAUAGGACGUUUGAUCCUAUUUUGUUGGUUUCUAGGAUUGACGUAAUGAUUAAUAGGGAUAGUUGGGGGCAUUAGUAUUCAAUUGUCAGAGGUGAAAUUCUUGGAUUUAUUGAAGACUAACUACUGCGAAGGCAUUUGCCAAGGAUGUUUUCAUUAAUCAAGAACGAAAGUUAGGGGAUCGAAGACGAUCAGAUACCGUCGUAGUCUUAACCAUAAACUAUGCCGACUAGGGAUCGGAUGAUGUUAAUUUUUUAAUGACUCAUUCGGCGCCUUA